AGUUAAACCUCAAGUUACCUCACUAACCCCAAAUCAUGCUUUGUAGUACAGGCCUCUGGUGUGUCUGCCCUGUUUCCUUGUGAUCUGGUCUCCCAGCAAUUGUAAGCUGAAUGGAACUCUUUCUUUUUGGUCUCUGGUCUGCUGUCAAUAGUGAGUGAACUGCAGCUUUGCAGCUCUCCCCCUCCAGCUGCUGGGAAGCUGUGCCUUCACGCUUUGACCUGAACGCUUGCAGUUGCAUGACACGCUAUUGAUGGUGACUGUGUUGCUGAUUUUUGUACCAGGUAGGCUUUUGUUAAGUGUGGGUUUUACAUAUUGUUGA
Molecule: long non-coding RNA, 319 nt
Organism: Thunnus maccoyii (southern bluefin tuna)
Lineage: Eukaryota; Metazoa; Chordata; Actinopteri; Scombriformes; Scombridae
Exons: 3
Source: RefSeq, a predicted model, not a curated record